Molecule: long non-coding RNA, 277 nt
Organism: Echinops telfairi (small Madagascar hedgehog)
Lineage: Eukaryota; Metazoa; Chordata; Mammalia; Afrosoricida; Tenrecidae
Exons: 3
Source: RefSeq, a predicted model, not a curated record
GAGACGUGGAGGAAGGUAGAGGACGCUGGGUACUUCCGCCAGACCAAAGCCGGCUACCAGCUCAGUGGGUUCCGCCUCACCAGGAGGCUACUAAAGUUCCUGUGGGAGUGAAUUAGAAUUUCAUAAGAGCAUAAUGGAUGGAGAAGAGAAAACUUACGGUGGCUGUGAAGGGCCGGAUGCCAUGUAUGUCAAACUGAUAUCUUCUGAUGGCCAUGAAUUUAUUGUAAAAAGAGAACAUGCACUAACAUCAGGAACAAUAAAAGCCAUGUUGAGUGGC